CGACCUCAGGUCAGACGUGGCGACCCGCUGAAUUUAAGCAUAUUAGUCAGGCGGAGGAAAAGAAACUAACGAGGAUUCCCUCAGUAACGGCGAGUGAAGAGGGAAGAGCCCAGCGCGAAUCCCGGGCGCGGAGGUGUGGCGUACGGAAGCCCCAUCCCCGCGCGCUCCGGGGGCCCAAGUCCUUCUGAUCGAGGCCAGCCCGCGGACGUGUAGAGGUACGGGCGGCGCGCCAGUCGGGCUGGAAUGCAGCCCCACGGCGGCACGGCGGAAUCCGGGGGCGGCGUGCCGAAGUCGGGUGCGGUGGGAAUUGCAGCGGAGUUCCACCGCGGGGCGGGGCGGGGCCAGGGGGGGCGGGGGGCGGGGACCGGCCGCCGGCGGGCGUCCGCCCCCGUCGGGCGCAUUUCCUCCGCGGCGGGUGCGCCGCGACCGGUCCGGGACGGCUGGGAAGGGCUGCGGGGCAGGUGGCCGGCGCGGCGAGCGGCCGCGGGUUAUAGCCGCGGGCCGGAUGUCGCCGAGUCCGCGGGCCAGAGGGAGGGACCGCCGCCGCGCCCUCCCCGGAGGGGCGCCCCCCGGAGGGCCCCCGGCCGGACCCGGCGUCGGCCGCCGCGCGCGCGCGCGUCCGCGCCGCCGCCGACGCCGCCCCUCGCUCUCUCUCCGUUCCCCGCCCGGGUCCGUCCCCGGGCGGGUCCGGCGCGCGGCUGCGGCGCGGGCGGCGCGCGUGUGGCGCGCGCCUCCAGCCCGCGCGGGCGAGCCGCGGGGGGCGCCGGGGGGAACCUUCCCCCUUCUGUUCGGCGCGUCGUCCGCGGGGGCGGCCGCCGGCGCCCCGCCCCGCGGCUCCCGCGCCGACCGCGGCCGCCGCCGGCCCCCGCCCGCCCGCCCCCCCCGCCCCCCCCCGCACGUCUGACCGUACGGACCAAGGAGUCUAGCACGCGCGCGAGUCGGCGGCUCGCGCGAAAGCCCGCGGGCAAUGAAGGUGAGGCGGAAUCCGGGGGGGAGGGGGGCGCGGCAGGGGGGGGCCGGAGGCCCCGCCACCCCGGCCUAUGCCGCUGCAACCAGAGCCCGUGCGCCGACGUGCAAAUCCGCCAGGGCGAACCAUCUAGUAGCUGGUUCCCUCCGAAGUUUCCCUCAGGAUAGCUGGCGCUCGGGGCGGCGGUGCAGUUUUACCCGGUAAAGCGAAUGAUUAGAGGUCUUGGGCCGAAACGAUCUCAACCUAUUCUCAAACUUUCAAUGGUAAGACGCCCGGCUCGCUGGCGUGGAGCCGGGCCGUGGAAUGCGAGCGCUCAGUGGGCCUUUUGGUAAGCAGAACUGGCGCUGCGGGAUGAACCGAACGCCGGGUUAAGGCGCCCGAUGCCGACGCUCAUCAGAGCCCAGAAAAGGUGUUGGUUGAUCUAGACAGCAGGACGGUGGCCAUGGAAGUCGGAACCCGCUAAGGAGUGUGUAACAACUCACCUGCCGAAUCAACUAGCCCUGAAAAUGGAUGGCGCUGGAGCGUCGGGCCCAUACCCGGCCGUCGCCGGCGGUGCGGAGCCGCGGGGCUACGCCGACGAGUAGGAGGGCCGCUGCGGUGCGCCUGGAAGCCUGGGGCGGGGCCCGGGGGAGGCCGCCGCAGGUGCAGACUUGGUGGUAGUAGAACUAUUCAAGACGAGAGCUUGAAGGCGAAGGGAGCAGGGUCCAUGUGACAGCAGGUUGAACAUGGUCAUCGUCCGUAACGAUAGGCGAGCCCGUUCGAAGGACGGCGAUGCCUCCGUUCCCUCAGCCGAUCGAAAGGGAGUCGGUCAAUCCCGAAUCCGGGCCGGCCGGACGGCCCCGAGGCGCCAGUCGGUACCGCAAGCAGACCCUAGAAGCCGUCUCCCCGGAGAGUUCUCUUUCUUGUGAAGCCGGCGCUCUGGAUACGGGUUCGCCCGAGAGAGGGAGCCGCGCCUUGAAACGUCUCUUUCCUCCCUGGUCCGUGAGGGGGGUCGGCGGGCCGAUCCGGUCCGGCCCCACCUCCGCGCCGGGGGGGGGGGGCGCCCCCUCGCCUCGGCCUGGAAGGCCGCCUAGCCAGCCGGCUUUAGAACUGGGGUGCGGACCAGGGGGAAAUCCGACUGUUUAAUUAAACAAAGCAUCGCGAAGCCGGUGUAGCGAUGUGAUUUCUCAGUGUCUGAAUGUCAAAGUGAAGAAAUUCAAUGAAGCGCUAUAAUAUAUUAAUAUGAUCUUUUAAGGUAGAAAUCCUCUAUCUAAAAAGCGCAUUGAAUAAAAGAGAUUACUUCCUUACCUACUUCCAGCGGAACCAGAACUAACAGCGAGGAAGACCAGCGACUCUGUCGGCGCGGUGUUAAGCGAGUCAGGGGCCAGAACCUCCCGUGGAGAAAGGGCAAAAGCUCGCUUGAUCUGAUUUUAGUACGAAUACAACCUGAAGCACUCAGAGACGAGUUAACAACGGUUGUAAGGAUAUGCGAGUCCGCUUUUGAUCCUCGAUGUCCUCUUCCUAUCAUUGUGAAGCAGAAUUCACAAGGUUGAUUGUUCACCACUAAUAGGACGUGAGGGGGGACCGUCGUGAGACAGGUUAGUUUUUAUGAGGUGUGUUGUUGCGCUAGUAAUCCUGCUCAGUACGAGAGAACGCAGGUUCAGACAUGGUGUAUGUCUUGGCUGAGGAGCCACUGGAGGAGGCCAUCUGGGAUUAUGCUGAACGCUCUAAGUCAGAAUUAAACGAGAUACCGCAGCGCCCGAGGCGCCUCGCGUGGGCUCGCGAUAGCCGGCCCGCCCGCCCCCCCUCGGGCGGGCGGUCGGUGCGGAGCGCCGCUCGUGGUCGGGGACCGGAGCGCGGGACAGAUGUGGCGCUCGCCUCUCCCCGCCGCGUACCGCAUGUUCGUGGGGAACCGGUGCUAAAUCAUUCGUAGACCGACCUGAUUCUGGUCGGGGUUUCGUACGUAGCAGAGCAGCUCCCUCGCUGCGAUCUAUUGAGAGUCAGCCCUCGACACAAGCUUUUGU
This is a non-coding RNA of Gallus gallus (chicken), 2970 nucleotides long. Lineage: Eukaryota; Metazoa; Chordata; Aves; Galliformes; Phasianidae. The record is from Rfam.